RNAcentral lists this long non-coding RNA (305 nucleotides) under Olea europaea subsp. europaea. Lineage: Eukaryota; Viridiplantae; Streptophyta; Magnoliopsida; Lamiales; Oleaceae. The record is from RNAcentral.
AUCCCCGAAAACAAGAAAGUUGGAUGUAGGAGAAAUCAACAUUCUUUGCUCAAAUCUUGAAAAGAGGCUAUAAAUCUUCAAAAUCCUUAAGGCUCACAGUCACUGAGAUCGAAGAGGCCGGCGUCGAUGGCAACUCAUUCGAAAGCAGCAGCAUCAGCAGGUCGCAAGUGCUGACUUCGGAAUCGCAGGGCAGUAGGAAGAAGGAAAGGUUUGUCUGGAUUUGAAAAAUGUAAUUGCCGAAUUGUUUAACAUGAAUGGUAGGUAAUGGAUUCCGGAAUUGCUUUUCUAUUGAAUGACGACUCCAC